RNAcentral lists this ribosomal RNA (429 nucleotides) under Chloroflexota bacterium. RNAcentral describes it as "Chloroflexi bacterium partial 16S ribosomal RNA". It matches the Rfam family "Bacterial small subunit ribosomal RNA", at positions 355 to 776 of the family's 1533-position model. Lineage: Bacteria; Bacillati; Chloroflexota. The record is from RNAcentral.
UGGGGAAUAUUGCACAAUGGGCGCAAGCCUGAUGCAGCCAUGCCGCGUGUGUGAAGAAGGCCUUCGGGUUGUAAAGCACUUUCAGCGGGGAGGAAGGCGAUAAGGUUAAUAACCUCAUCGAUUGACGUUACCCGCAGAAGAAGCACCGGCUAACUCCGUGCCAGCAGCCGCGGUAAUACGGAGGGUGCAAGCGGUAAUCGGAAUUACUGGGCGUAAAGCGCACGCAGGCGGUCUGUCAAGUCGGAUGUGAAAUCCCCGGGCUCAACCUGGGAACUGCAUUCGAAACUGGCAGGCUAGAGUCUUGUAGAGGGGGGUAGAAUUCCAGGUGUAGCGGUGAAAUGCGUAGAGAUCUGGAGGAAUACCGGUGGCGAAGGCGGCCCCCUGGACAACGACUGACGCUCAGGUGCGAAAGCGUGGGGAGCAAACAGG